GACGAACGCUGGCGGCGUGCUUAACACAUGCAAGUCGAACGAUGAACCCGGAGCUUGCUCCGGUGGAUUAGUGGAGAACGGGUGAGUAACACGUGAGUAACCUGCCCUUGACUCUGGGAUAACUGCGGGAAACUGUAGCUAAUACCGGAUACGACCCUCGGCGGAAUCGCCAGGGGGUGGAAAGAAUUUCGGUCAAGGAUGGACUCGCGGCCUGUCAGCUAGUUGGUGAGGUAACGGCUCACCAAGGCGCCGACGGGUAGCCGGCCUGGGAGGGUGACCGGCCACCCUGGAACUGGGCCGCGGCCCAGCCACAUAAGGGAGGAAGCAGUGGGGAAUAUUGCACAAUGGGCACAAGCCUGAUUCAGCAACGCCGCGUGAGGGAUGCCGGCCUUCGGGUUGUAAACCUCUUUUAGUAUGGAGGAAGAGAAAGUGACGGUACCCGCAGCAAAAGCACCGGCUAACUACGUGCCAGCCGCCGCCGUAA
Molecule: ribosomal RNA, 484 nt
Filed under: uncultured bacterium
Lineage: Bacteria
Description: partial 16S ribosomal RNA
Rfam family: Bacterial small subunit ribosomal RNA
Source: RNAcentral